CCUACGGGAGGCAGCAGUGGGGAAUCUUGCGCAAUGGGCGAAAGCCUGACGCAGCCAUGCCGCGUGAAUGAUGAAGGUCUUAGGAUUGUAAAAUUCUUUUCACCGGGGACGAUAAUGACGGUACCCGGAGAAGAAGCCCCGGCUAACUUCGUGCCAGCAGCCGCGGUAAUACGAAGGGGGCUAGGCGUUGCGUCGGAAUUACUGGGCGUAAAGGGAGCGUAGGCGGAUAGUUUAGUCAGAGGUGAAAGCCCAGGGCUCAACCUUGGAAUUGCCUUUGAUACUGGCUAUCUUGAGUGUGGGAGAGGUAUGUGGAACUCCGAGUGUAGAGGUGAAAUUCGUAGAUAUUCGGAAGAACACCAGUGGCGAAGGCGACAUACUGGCCCAUUACUGACGCUGAGGCUCGAAAGCGUGGGGAGCAAACAGGAUUAGAUACCCUGGUAGUCCACGCUGUAAACGAUGAGUGCUAGUUGUCGGCAGGCAUGCCUGUCGGUGACGCAGCUAACGCAUUAAGCACUCCGCCUGGGGAGUACGGUCGCAAGAUUAAAACUCAAAAUGAAUUGACGG
Molecule: ribosomal RNA, 564 nt
Filed under: uncultured bacterium
Lineage: Bacteria
Description: bacterial SSU rRNA
Rfam family: Bacterial small subunit ribosomal RNA
Source: RNAcentral